UACGUAGGGGGCAAGCGUUGUCCGGAUUUAUUGGGCGUAAAGAGCGUGUAGGCGGCCUGGAAGGUCAGCUGUGAAAACUCGAGGCUCACCCUCGAGACGCCGGCGGAAACCAUCAGGCUAGAGUCCGGAAGAGGAGAGUGGAAUUCCUGGUGUAGCGGUGAAAUGCGCAGAUAUCAGGAAGAACACCCGUGGCUAAGGCGGCUCUCUAGUACGGUACUGACGCUGAGACGCGAAAGCGUGGGGAGCGAACAGG
RNAcentral lists this ribosomal RNA (253 nucleotides) under uncultured bacterium. Its description in RNAcentral is "partial 16S ribosomal RNA". It matches the Rfam family "Bacterial small subunit ribosomal RNA", at positions 524 to 776 of the family's 1533-position model. The record is from RNAcentral.